CACCCUGAAUACACCCUAUCUCGUCUGAUCACAGAAGCUAAGCAGGUUAG
RNAcentral lists this ribosomal RNA (50 nucleotides) under Capra hircus (goat). Lineage: Eukaryota; Metazoa; Chordata; Mammalia; Artiodactyla; Bovidae. The record is from RNAcentral.